RNAcentral lists this ribosomal RNA (268 nucleotides) under uncultured archaeon. Its description in RNAcentral is "partial 16S ribosomal RNA". It matches the Rfam family "Archaeal small subunit ribosomal RNA", at positions 717 to 982 of the family's 1478-position model. The record is from RNAcentral.
ACACGACUACUAUUAGACUACCCGCGUAGUCCUAGCCGUAAACGAUACUCGCUAGGUGUCGGCCACGGUGCGACCGUUGUCGGUGCCGUAGGGAAGCCGUGAAGCGAGCCGCCGUGGGAAGUACGGUCGCAAGGCUAGAAACUUAAAGGAAUUGGCGGGGAGCACCACAACGGGUGGAGCCUGCGGUUUAAUUGGACUCAACGCCGGGAAGCUCACCGGAUAAGACAGCGGAAUGAUUGCCGGGCUGAAGACUCUGCAUGACUAGCUG